Molecule: non-coding RNA, 3214 nt
Organism: Phascolarctos cinereus (koala)
Lineage: Eukaryota; Metazoa; Chordata; Mammalia; Diprotodontia; Phascolarctidae
Source: RefSeq, a predicted model, not a curated record
AAUUCAUUCAGCAGGGCCCGGUACCACGGUCUUCGGGUCCCACCACCCCAAAACCCCUAGACCUCUUCAGGUUGUCAAGGGGAGACCAAUUUGGAGACCAGGGCAAUAGUACUGAAGAGAAGGGUCGGGAGUUUGAAUGAGGCUGGUGAGUAGAGUGAAGGGGACAGGUGCUCAGGAUACAAUGAAUCAACAAGACUUGGGAAGAAGUUGGAUAUGGGACAGCGAAGAGCCCAUGAGGACUCUGAGACUAUAAACUUCGAACAGGAAAGAUGGAGGCACAGAUUGUAGAAAUGGGAGGUUUAGGAGGAGGGGUAGGUUGGAGAGGAAAGAUUGUGGCUUCUAUUAGGAUUCUCAGCUAUGGGACAUCCAGAUGGAAAUGUCCAGUAGACAGUGGUGAUGUGAGCCUGGAGCUUGGCAGACAAAUGUGGGCCACAUAUGGGAGUCAUCUGGGAUGUGGGAUGAUCACUGAGCCCUUGCAACAAGGUUAUUAUCUGGGGGGCACUUAGCUAGGGAGAGCAGGGAAGGCGGGAAGCAGGAUCAGCCAAGUUAUUAUCAGGUGGAAGGAGGAGCAGGCAGGAGAAGUGCAUCCUGAAAACCUAGAGGAGACAGUAUUAAGGGGAGAGGAUGAUAGGCUGGGUCCAAAGCAGCACAGAGAUGCAGGAAGAGUGAGGAAAGUUCAUUGGAUUUAGCAAUAGAGAAAUUCCUAGUGGCCCAGAAGAGAGCACUUUCAAUCAGGUGGUGAAGAUGGAAAUCAGAUUGCCUGAGGGUGGAGAAGUGAGUGGGAGGUGAGAAAGUGAUAAGAGGUGAGAGAAUGAUAAAACAGGAGGGAGAGUGAAACCUGGAGGGCUUCCUGGAGGAGGUGAGUUCAGAACUUGAGAGGUGGGCUGCAAAGGAGACACCAGACCUGAGCUUCUCCUUCCAUCUCUUGACCUUCCACCUUCCAGCAGCGGGUAGAGUGCUUCCAUGAGAACCCAAGCGUCCAAGAGCUACUGUGUGACAGUUAUAUCAGCUGGACAAUUACCUUGGUGAGCAGUGGCCCCCCUCUUCGAAAGGGCCACAGAAAGGGCCCCUCUACACUUCCCUCUGGAGACAUGGAAAGGGACACCCAUUGUGGCCUCAAGAAAAAAAUCCUUCCCAGAGACAGAGAGACAUCCUCCUCAGGGACACAGACUUCAAAAGAGACACCUCCCUACACUAUGAGAGUAAGCUCUCCAGAGACAGAGUGACCCUCAGACACACAAAGAGAACUCCAGAGACAAAGAAACUCACUAGAAAGAGUACACAAACAUAGAGAGAUUCCUCCAAGGACAGAGACACCCUCCCAUCAGAGAUAUGAAGAGACCACUCACAGAGACCAAAGCCAUGCCCUCUGCCCACCACUGACAUACGGAGAGACCCUCCAAAGACACAGAAACCCCUCCUCCAAAUGUGGAGAGGUACACUUCCCUUCCUUCCUGCCUGCCUGCCCACCCAAUACGUGCAGGGAGCCGGCUGGGACCCAAGGCCAGCUGGUGAUGAGCCCCGGCCUCUCCCCCACAACUCCCUAGCUGACCCUCUGUCCCCGCUGGGGCCCUCAGAGAGCGAGCCUGCUUGGGAGGCAGCUGCAAAUGCUCUUGACCGUGUCACCCGCCUCUGUCAUCGUCUCCAUGCUGACCUGCUCUUUCAAGAACUGUAGGUCAGUGUCAGGAAGCCUCUGGACCCCUCCCAAACUGACUAGAAAAUGGGGACCUGAGGGUUGUGACAAUGGUUACAUCAGGAUCACGCCGAGAUCUAGCUGAGCCAGAGACUGGACUAAGACAAAGGAAGAAAGGAAAGAAAGGGGAAGGAGCAGAAUGGAGGGAGGAGAUCGAUGUUGACACAGAGGGCCCAGCUUGGGGAGGGGGAACAUGAACCUGGGUCUCGGCAUAAGCUCCCACAGGCUACCAUUGCCUAUUGACUGCUAUACUCAGGAGUGUGGAGGCCUGUGGCUGUGGCUGGGCCUGCUGCUCCAGGAUGGGUGUGACAUUGUAGGUGCUUUUGUGCCUAAGUCUGUGACUCCAUGUGGAAUGGGUGGGCAUGAAUUAGGUGAGUUUCAGCUUUGGCUACAUGUGUGUGCUCAACCCCUCCCACACUCAUGAAGACAGUGAUGGGCUCUGGGAUCCCCCCCAUUGAGGCUGGAAAGGGGCAGAAUUCCUGGUCCUUCUACCUAUGGGUUCAGUGGCCUGGGUGGGACCUUAAGGGAGCUCUGAGUCAGAUUAACUCUGAUCUCAACUUUCUCUGGACAAUUCCAGCCCCAUUUCUCCAAAGUGAUGUGUCAGAAGUAGCUGACCAGCUCUGAGGCUCUGGAUGACAUUGUAGGGACCCUGGGAGCUCAGGCCUUGGCCCUCAGAAGAAUGCAUGACCAGACUUACCAGGCCUGAUCUUGCCUGCCUGCCCAGCCACUGCCCUCGGCCCCCAGCUCGGCCUCGUGCCCAGCCCUGAGUGCACCUGGGACUCCUACAACCUGCCCUGUGAUGCUGCUGUCCCAACCUGGAAGCCUAUGUCUUCUCCCUUUCCCCCAACAUCUGCUGCUGAGAAAGAUUCUGACCCCAAGGAUGGAUUCUGUCCCUGGGUUUCAAACCAGGUCAUAGAGUAAGGGAUGUCAGAGCUGGGAGAGUCCUCAGAACACGAUGUCAUAGCUGGAAGAACUCUAGGAAAGUGAAAUAUUGGAGCUGGAAGGGCCUUUAGAACAUAGAUCAUUAGAACUGGGAGAACUUUUAGAACACCAAAUGUCAGAAUUGGGAGGAACCUCAGAACAGAGAAGGUCAGUGCUGGGAGGCACCUCAAAACAUAGAAAGUGAAGAAUGAAAAGGAAUUUAGAACCUAGAUCAAUAAUCAAUGAAUAAACAUUUAUUAAGCACCUACUAAGUGCCAGGCACUACACUAAGAGCAUGGACUUAUCAUGGUCGGAAGAUACAUCAGGUCAUGGAGUUUUAUUUCCUCAUAUUAGAGACGGGACAACUGAGGCUCAAGAGUGAGGAAAGGGACUUCUCCCUAGGUCACACAGCAAGCCAGUGGCAGAGCUGGGAGCCAGGGCUUCUCCGGAGUUAGGGUAGGUCCCAUAGAAGUAAUGGAGGCUGUGCCUUGCUCUGCCCAGUCUCCAUCUCUCUUCCCUCUAAAUGUCUUCUUGCAGUGGCUGCUCAUGUAAUAAGGAAUGUAUGAUGAUAAAAUAAAUAUGUUUCUAUUUAACGAGCAA